UCCGUACACAUCUGUAGUUACAUGCGCAUCCACAUCCACAUAACUGAAGCCAGUGUCCUUCACCAUGAGCCAGGCACUCCAACAGUUUCUGCUCUAUUUUAUUUUACAAAAUUGCUGGUGGUGACUCAUGAAACUGAUUUCAAAAUGCACAUUUGAAAAGCAUGGUCCUAGCUGGCACCCCCUGGUGGCAGCCUGGGCCUCGGGUGUGGGUCCAGGUGGGAUCCCCACCAUCCCCAACUCUGGGUUCUGAGCUGGGAUAAAGGCCUCUUGGCGGUGUUGCUGGGGGCCACAGCCCCAGCAGUGCCCUUCCUGCUCUCCCCCACCGGUCACAGAGCAUGAGUCCCGACCACUGCGUCCGCCGGCGCCCCUCAGUGGGUCUUUGUCCCAAGAAGCUGCCAAGCCAGGUGGGGACUGCUCUCACCGCCCGUGUGGCAGGCUGUCGUCUGAAGGACAGAGUCCUCUUCUCUCGUGUCCGUAAGCCUAGCAGGUAGUGGGAGUGAACGGGCAGCCCGGUUGCUGGGCACCCAUCUCCCCAGCCUAGCCGGUGUGUGGAGGAUUGCAGCCCUUUAGCCCAGCCUGACCAGGCAAGCCUGCCGGGGUGAGCAGGAGGGCUUCUGGGGUGAGGGGAGGUGGGGGGGGGAGGGAGGGAGACGACGGGAGGAGGCUCACCUGAACUGAAUGCAGAAGGGGCAGUGCCUUUGCACCAGAAAAAGCCCAUGUGUCCUUCUCACCAUCCCCUGUGCUUACACCCCCAGUCAGCAUGCUCCGGGAGUCCCUGAGCCGGGCCGCCCCAGACGGCCCUCCUUCCCUCCCACCCAGCACCCUGCGACACCUCCCAAACGUGUGUGCCAGCAAGAUGACUCCAGGGUGCCUUUAGGUGGAGCUGUAGUGGUUGGGACGGGCGGCUGUAUAUCAGGGGUGAGUUCCAGGGAGACUUGGGGGCUUAGAAAACUUAGAAAACUUCUCCAAGUGGGGAGAGAAUCCCGCCUGCCCUGCCGGAGGCGGGGCUCAGUGCCCUGAAGUGGAGGCGCCCGUGGGCCACCUCCCUCCCUGCAGCCGCACCCGCUGCGCAGAGGCGCUGGCUCCUUCUCCUCCCGCCUGGAAUAGGUGUCUCCCCAGCCCCCGCUCCCAGGGGCCUCUCUCUCUCUCCCGCCCCGCAGGGUCGAGUCCUGGCAGGGGCUCGGGGAUCGGGUAGUCAGUACCUCUCUGCGUCUCCAGCCGCCGGUAGUUGGGGACCCUGUGGCUGGAGUGCGUUUUCACCAGGAAGGAGCGCGGCAUGUUCCCCUCCCGGGCGGCAAGCCGGAGUGGGCUGGGGCGGGAGGGGCGCGCCUGGGUCCGGACUGCCGCGUCCGCCGGCGCUUGAAGCGGGUCAGGCUCAUUAGCAUAGCGCGCCGCCUCCGCCAACCAGCGCCCGGCGCGAGUGGGGCGUGGCCACGGGGGCGGAGCUGAGGGCGAGGCGGGGUCGCGGGCAACACGCCCAGGACAGGUGCGCGGGCGGGGCGGGGCGGGGCGGGGCGGGGCGGGGCGCGCGUGGCCGCCGGUGUCCUCCCCACGAGACUCCUCUGGCGCGCGCGCCGCCGAGUCACACACCGACCCCUCGGGCCUGGCCACCCACUCGCCGUGAGUGAAAGGACAGAGUUCAAAGCUGAGUGGAAACCGAGCGAGGAUCCACUUCGCAGAAUGUAGAAGCGUCGGUGGAGCGAGGUCUUCGGACAGCUCUUAUUUCGGAGAAUGACAUUGUCUUCACGACUUCACCUUCCCCAUCCCUUCUAUAAACUGACAGGACGGGGUUGAUGGGGAGAGUCUAGGCAAAAGGAAGCUGACCCCAGUGACCAGCCCUAGUGGCCGCCCAGAGUCAAUGCUCUGGAACAGGACCGGGACCGGUGACCUGGAGACAGUGGCCGUUUCUGGAUGGGCUGCAGUCUCUGAAGGCUUCCUCCACUGGAUAGCCCCUUAGGAGUUUGCCCAGUGCCUCCAGAAAGCUCUUUUUUGGGGGACAGCGGACUCGGCCUGGAAUUCUGGAAUUCCCAGGGGGUCGGACAUGGUUAUGAGAAGUUUAAUAAAACCGGCGAAUCA
This 2076-nucleotide non-coding RNA is filed under the name Pongo abelii (Sumatran orangutan). Lineage: Eukaryota; Metazoa; Chordata; Mammalia; Primates; Hominidae. The record is from RNAcentral.